RNAcentral lists this transfer RNA (76 nucleotides) under Escherichia phage T5. Its description in RNAcentral is "tRNA-Cys". The record is from RNAcentral. Lineage: Duplodnaviria; Heunggongvirae; Uroviricota; Caudoviricetes; Demerecviridae.
GUCGUCCAAAUUACUAAAGGAAAGAAGUAGUGCAUACAAAAGUUUUUGAUAGUUUGGUAAAGAAAGGCGUUGUUAC